Megalops atlanticus (tarpon) is the source of this 72-nucleotide non-coding RNA. The record is from the annotation of a GenBank genome assembly. NCBI's taxonomy places the organism in Eukaryota, Metazoa, Chordata, Actinopteri, Elopiformes, Megalopidae.
GCUAGUGUGCUGUAGUGGAAAGGAGCAGGGCUCAUAACCCAAAGGUUCCUGGUUCGAUUCCUCACUGAGGCA